Molecule: RNA transcript, 502 nt
Organism: Pistacia vera
Lineage: Eukaryota; Viridiplantae; Streptophyta; Magnoliopsida; Sapindales; Anacardiaceae
Exons: 2
Source: RefSeq, a predicted model, not a curated record
UCAUCUCCACUCCCUCAAAAUCCAUUCGAUCUGGAAAUGGAACUGUAAAGAAUCAACCAUCUUCAUCCAACUGAAGUUUCUUUUUCUUUUUUGUUCAUAUCCCCACCAUGCCUCAUUGCCUCCUAUAUUCCCUUCACCCUUUGUAAGAGACAAUUUUGAAGGCUAUUGAUAGGGCACUUGGCACCUCCAAGAUAGAUGAAGAGACCCAAAUCUUGAGACUCUUCUGAGGAAGAGAGUGAUCACUAACAACACACCUGAUGGCUUUCUACUGGUGAGUGCAUUGCAUCACAUAAAUUGUAAUACAUCGGAACCAUUUAGUGUAGAGACGGGAAGUGUGACCGUGAUUCCAUUGACUGAUACACAGACACGCUUUAUAAUCAGCGAACAGGCUGAUCUUUGCAGAGAUGGCCUCAAGUGGCAAGUGAAUGUGAGAGAUCCAAUGUAAGGGGUCAAUGAGGCUCCUUGACCCCUGUGCGUGUUUGUGGUGCUGGUGAAAUGAUCA